This 374-nucleotide ribosomal RNA is filed under the name uncultured eukaryote. Its description in RNAcentral is "partial 18S ribosomal RNA". It matches the Rfam family "Eukaryotic small subunit ribosomal RNA", at positions 592 to 976 of the family's 1831-position model. The record is from RNAcentral.
CAAUAGCGUAUAUUUAAGUUGUUGCAGUUAAAAAGCUCGUAGUUGGAUUUCUGCUGAUCGCUGUCGGUCUGCCGUCAGGUGUGUACUGGCAGUGUUUGGCAUCUAUUCGAGAUUGGGUGUCCACUUGAUUGUGUGCACUCGAUGUCGGAGCUAAUACUUUGAGAAAAUUAGAGUGUUCCACGCAGGCGCGUGCCUUGAAUACUGCAGCAUGGGAUAUUGGAAGGCCGAUUGAGCUUUCUUGUCGGUUCUCGGUUUGAUCGGAAUGAUUAAUAGGGAUAGUUGGGGGCAUUCGUAUUCAACUGUCAGAGGUGAAAUUCUUGGAUUUGUUGAAGACGGACUACUGCGAAAGCAUCUGCCAUGGAUGUUCUCAUUGA